Molecule: transfer RNA, 110 nt
Filed under: Planctomycetota bacterium
Lineage: Bacteria; Pseudomonadati; Planctomycetota
Also listed under: 1 other name
Description: Planctomycetes bacterium (marine sediment metagenome) tRNA-OTHER
Source: RNAcentral
GCUGCUGUAGACUAAUUGGUUAGGUUGCCAGGUAAGUGCACCUCUCUUCAACCGAUCUUAGAUGUUGAAUGAAAACCUUGGAGAUGUCGGUUCAAUUCCGGCCAGCAGCU